AUUGAACGCUGGCGGAACGCUUUACACAUGCAAGUCGAACGGCAGCACGGACUUCGGUCUGGUGGCGAGUGGCGAACGGGUGAGUAAUGUAUCGGAACGUGCCCAGUCGUGGGGGAUAACGUAGUGAAAAUUACGCUAAUACCGCAUACGAUCUAUGGAUGAAAGCGGGGGAUCGCAAGACCUCGCGCGAUUGGAGCGGCCGAUAUCAGAUUAGGUAGUUGGUGGGGUAAAGGCCCACCAAGCCAACGAUCUGUAGCUGGUCUGAGAGGACGACCAGCCACACCGGAACUGAGACACGGUCCAGACUCCUACGGGAGGCAGCAGUGGGGAAUUUUGGACAAUGGGCGAAAGCCUGAUCCAGCCAUUCCGCGUGCAGGAUGAAGGCCCUCGGGUUGUAAACUGCUUUUGUACAGAACGAAAAGGUUUCUACUAAUACUAGGAGCUCAUGACGGUACUGUAAGAAUAAGCACCGGCUAACUACGUGCCAGCCGCCGCUGUAA
This 500-nucleotide ribosomal RNA is filed under the name uncultured bacterium. RNAcentral's name for it is "partial 16S ribosomal RNA". It matches the Rfam family "Bacterial small subunit ribosomal RNA", at positions 30 to 523 of the family's 1533-position model. The record is from RNAcentral.